CCUACGGGAGGCAGCAGUGGGGAAUAUUGCACAAUGGGCGCAAGCCUGAUGCAGCCAUGCCGCGUGUGUGAAGAAGGCCUUCGGGUUGUAAAGCACUUUCAGCGGGGAGGAAGGCGGUGAGGUUAAUAACCUCAUCGAUUGACGUUACCCGCAGAAGAAGCACCGGCUAACUCCGUGCCAGCAGCCGCGGUAAUACGGAGGGUGCAAGCGUUAAUCGGAAUUACUGGGCGUAAAGCGCACGCAGGCGGUCUGUCAAGUCGGAUGUGAAAUCCCCGGGCUCAACCUGGGAACUGCAUUCGAAACUGGCAGGCUAGAGUCUUGUAGAGGGGGGUAGAAUUCCAGGUGUAGCGGUGAAAUGCGUAGAGAUUUGGAGGAAUACCGGUGGCGAAGGCGGCCCCCUGGACAAAGACUGACGCUCAGGUGCGAAAGCGUGGGGAGCAAACAGGAUUAGAUACCCCAGUAGUC
This 465-nucleotide ribosomal RNA is filed under the name uncultured Klebsiella sp. Its description in RNAcentral is "bacterial SSU rRNA". It matches the Rfam family "Bacterial small subunit ribosomal RNA", at positions 338 to 795 of the family's 1533-position model. Lineage: Bacteria; Pseudomonadati; Pseudomonadota; Gammaproteobacteria; Enterobacterales; Enterobacteriaceae. The record is from RNAcentral.